UGCAUGUGCCUUUAAUGUGAUUGGCUUCUUAUUCAAAGAUGUUGUGAUUUAUUGCAUAAUGACACGGGCUGAUUGUAUAUUAGCUGGCAACGCUUCUCUUGGUGAUCAUCCAGAUUUAGACGAUUAUAUGUCUGUCAAUCUCAAACCUCUCUACGGCCCAUUUCCUCUUUUGGACGGAAAUUAACUGCUAUAUUAAGAAAGGGUGGUUGUUUUCCCAUAUCGAUGCCAGACUGGUAUGAACCAGCGACUACCCAGCAGGUUUGGAUUCAUACAUACGACUGCAAUGAGGAAGUCGAUGUGGCAGGUGAAUGGCACUGACCGGGCAGAAAAAGCUGUUUAUGAGCUGAGAAUAAUCCCUCGUUUACGGCGGUAAAUUGGUUCCAGACUUGACUGUGCAGACUUUGGAUGCGAGAGCAUACUCCAUGGUGCUCCAGCAGGCCCACCAGGCAGUGCAAACCCGGUGUCCUCCACCAUCGACCAAGGCCGGCCUUCCAGUGCGACAAAUCCAACCAUGUUUCCGUAGACCUCUGACUACCACGCACAUACAGUUUCUCUAGUCGUCUUCUCUGCUGCAGCCGAAUGAAUGCGACUGGAAGAGCUGCACCUCACGGAUCGCGGGUAUGCUGGAGCCUACCCCAGCUGUUUUCGGGCGAGAGACGAGGUCGCCAGCCAAUCAUAGGGCACAUAUAGACAAACAACCAUUCACACUCACAUUCAUACCUAUGGACAAUUUGGAGUGGCCAAUUAACCUAGCAUGUUUUUGGAAUGUGGGAGGAAACCGGAGUACCCGGAGAAAACCCACGCAUGCACGGGGAGAACAUGCAAACCACCAUGCAGCCCUAAAAGUUAAUAUAUUGGUUACAUAUAUAUAUUCACCACUGUUGAUUGAUCGGUGAUACAUCAUAAUCGGCGGAAACUGGACUGUAGCACAGCAAAUUAGAGAUAUGAUCAUGUUGUUUUUUUUUUCCACCAGGGAAAGGUUUUGUGAAAAACUUGAUUCAAGUAGACAAUAGCCACGGUUACAUGAUGAGUUUUUCUCUUUCCGAAUCGAAUCUUUUAGAAUGACCUUUCCGAAAGCAAUGGUAUACAUGGAAAGGAAUAUUCCAAUCUCUUGUCUACAUGCGCCGCUAUAAUCAACCAGAAUAGUCAAUGGGGCAUGCCCAGUAAAACGUAAACACCAACAUCACGUGAUGCCGACUUCCCCGAGUUGUUCUUUCACUUGUUGGAAUAACUCCGUUUUGCCAGUUUUUCCUUCAUCCAGUCUUGUUAGUUUGAAUCAAAAACAAACUUUCCUUAGCAGUCCAGUGCCGAUUGCUCGCCUCCAUUUUUUUAAAUGGAAGAACGUGUGGAGCUGCGUGUUACGUCAUAUCUCAGCAUUCGCUAAAAGAACGCACCCAGGAACAGGAAAAGAUAAAGUUCAAUCUUGCUAAUAUUUUAUAAUUAAACUCGGCACAUGUUUUAUAUAGAUAUGUAUUUUCUUUUUUAAUAAAACUGGAUUUGUGAAUGGCGUAUAGAAGGGUUUAGAUUCUGUUCCACAGAUGGCGCUAAUGCACACGAAAGCUGCUUGCCAACCGCCAAUAAACAACAGAAGAAGAAAAACACCACGAAGAAGAACGCAGUCUGUCAACUUUCCGAUUGAGCGGGUACAAGAUACCUCAAUCGGAUUGGGGAAAGGAAUAUUCCACCCCUGGGAAUCUGAUUAUAUAUUCAUUCGGAUUGGCACUUUUCUUUGGGAAUGAGGUGUAUACAAAGGUUACAUUCUUUCUGUUUGAGCAAAUAACCCGAAUGGAAUUGGAAUAUUUGGGUCCAUGUAUACGUGGCUAAUGAUGUAGGUGAUUAACAGAGGCAGGAAGUCUAUUGGGAAGGGGAGUUUUAUUUGAGAUAUUUCAACCAUUUGAAAGAUAUUUAGGGUAUGUUAAGAGUAUGGAUAGGUACCACAAGAUAAAGGUUUUUAUGACCUGCUAAUGUCCCUAUGUUACAAAGUAACCAGUGACUAUGAGGACACUUCCAUAAAAUAAAAUGAUAUUUAGAAGCCGUCCUGCUGCUAGGGUGUCAUUCUCCUAUUAAGAGAAAUGCUGCUCAAACCAAAGUGUACCGCUUGGCACAAAUGUUCCUGACAUAAAGGUAAUCCCAGCCAUCUCGUCGCACCACUGUUUUUUGGUUUUUGUUUUGCUCCUCCACAAGGAGACGGCAUAAGGAGUUUAUUAGAGGUUUGGCGUUUAUUUGUUGAAGUCAGGGUUUGCCCAACUUCGGUUUGGGGCCCUAAAUGUAUUUCAGUAAGUUCGGAACCAAAGUAUUGUUAAACUGAAAAACAUUGGUAUAAAUCAAUGGAGUACUAGGUGAUUAAUUGAGGGACGGUAUUUAAACUAUUAAAUCUUGUAAUAGAUUUUUAGCUAUUUUUAUUUCCUACAUUUUGCACACAAAAGAAGAAUGCAUGACCUCAGUUCAGCUAAAGGUGUUGCGUGGUGCAUAAUCACUUUACCUGAUGUAGUAGUCGUUCCUGAUGAGCAGAAGGUGUUGCAGGAUGGACAGGAAGUAGGUCUCGGACCCCGUGUCUUUUACCAUGUUGGACAAGAGAUGAUACACCUCAUUCAUAUCAGUGGAGAGGGCAAAGUUAAGGGAAGCAGUUCGGUAAUGACUAUGAUUACUGGAUAGUCACAUGACUCAUCAUUACAUUCCAUUGAAGGAGACAAUUCAAAUGCAAAGUAGCAAAGUAACUCUAAACAGCUCCUCACGCUUCCUGACAGGCAUCACUGUGUAAAAGCAAACACAGAUGUGCUUCUUCUUAUUAUCUCCAGGGAACUGAUAGAACAAGAGGAAGUAUGGAAAAAAAUAUAAAAUAACUCCCUCUGGUUUACCUGUCACUCUGAUGCUUUCAAAGUAGAAAAUUAAUUAGAUGACAAAAAAAAGUCUAAAAAAGGUUUGAAUAUUUAAGGCAAGCAUGACGGCGGAGGCGCUCAUUUGCAGAACGACAAUUACGCCGAGAGUCACUUUUGUGAUUGAAACUGACGUUCAAUCCACACACACAUAUAAAAAAAAAACCUUGGUUAUUAAAUUUGCAAAAGGUAUUGAUUAUGUGUCUUGUGUUAGCUUUCCCCAAGAGUGAGCGUUGAUGGCUCGGACAUCUAAAACACAUCUGUCAGAUGUCUAAAUCUACUACACUCGUCCUUCUUCAAGCACUUUCUACAUAGGAGUCUUACAUAUUUACUUCUUUGUGUUGUAUUAAACAAUGACCAUGCCGUCUCUUAAUGCCUUUAAUUCAUAUACUGAAACAUUAUUAAACACUGGAUUUGUGCUUGUCAAACUUCUGAAGAACUUUAAGAGCGCAGUGCAAACUAAUGCAGAUGCUAUUUAGUUUGUGCAAGAAAAGAAAGGAUUUCCCCACGGGAGGCUCAUCUUGUUUAAAAAAGUGCAAAAAGCUUCCCAAAUAUGUCCUAUAAAUGUGCACAUAAAUAAGUGACAGAUGAGAAGCUGACACCCUGACAUGAAGCGCAACCUCCUAAAAUAUUUACAAGGAACGCGGUGACAAAGUGACAUUUUCACUUAGCGGCACAUGUUGUUCUUAUUUCUGCCAUUGAAGAAGGAAAUAUGUCUUCUAAACAGCGACAGUUUAGGAUGUAAGUACACGCUUUGGGGCAUAUACACAGUGACUUGUCAGGGAUUUAGACUUAAUAGUAUGACAUUGGUUGUACAGUAUACAGUAUAUAACCAAUCCAAUACUAUAUGUAUAUAUACAUUGAUUUAAUUGCAAUUAAUCACACUUUUAGUCAUAGUUGACUCAUAAUUUAAAAUUUAAUUGAUUAUUUAACCAUAGAUUUAAAAAAAUCAAGUAUAAUAGUUUAUCUAGUAUAAUAAGUAGGGAUGUAAACAUGUUUGUGGUACACAAUUGGAAAGUACAACAAUAAAGUCAAAUCCUACAAGUUUUGAAUUCAAUGCAAGCCCCAAUUUGUCCCACCUUAUAUGUUCUACUACUAUACUGUAUUUUUACCCUUUUUCUUUCACCUCAUAUUUUCUCCCAAAUACCGACACUAUGAAGGAAUACCUACAGAUACCUGAUGACCUUAUUGAGUGCCAAUGUGCAUAUUUGUGAUACACAACCUCUCUGAAAGUCCAGGCUCAUACUGGUGGAUUGUGGUUCUGUAUUCAUUUAGUGUUUUUCAUUUGAUCUUGUUCCUGAUGUUGUUGUACAAACCAUAAUAAAUAAGAUAAAUGACAUCGCUAUAAUGUAUCUGUUUUGUGUUGAAAAUCUUUCCUGGUGUCUAGCUAGCUCGUUUCCGUGCUAGCUAAUGCUAAUAAUAAAUGAAUAAACCCUUGGCAGAGAUAAUUAAAUAAAAAGUGGUUAGGAGCGACUAACUGUGGUGGAAAAAGGUUAUUAGCAACU
This is a non-coding RNA of Doryrhamphus excisus (bluestripe pipefish), 4381 nucleotides long. NCBI's taxonomy places the organism in Eukaryota, Metazoa, Chordata, Actinopteri, Syngnathiformes, Syngnathidae. The record is from RefSeq and is a predicted model, not a curated record.